This is an RNA transcript of Zootoca vivipara (common lizard), 4093 nucleotides long. It is a transcript of the gene named Bet1 golgi vesicular membrane trafficking protein, with no coding region annotated. The record is from RefSeq and is a predicted model, not a curated record. Lineage: Eukaryota; Metazoa; Chordata; Lepidosauria; Squamata; Lacertidae.
CAUUACCCGGAACGCUUUGCGGGACUUAAGCGCUGUCGUGGCGUUUGUGGGGUGAGCUGUGUCUGGCGAAAGAGUUUCGUAAAGCUCCCCCACUUUUGCCCGGCUGAGUGUCGGAAGAAGGCCGGCUUCGAGAAGGGCCCGUGGGUCGCAGGAGCGAGGCUUCACCGCGUCUCCUCGCCCACCCCACACAGAGGCAGAGCAAGGAUGAGGAGGGCCGGGCUGAGUGAAGGAGCUGCUGGCGGCAAUUAUGGCUACAGCAACAGUGGGUACAGUGUAUUUGAGGAAGAAAAUGAGAAGUUAACUGAAAGUUUGCGUUCAAAAGUCACUACCAUAAAAUCACUUUCCAUUGAAAUUGGAUCAGAAGUUAAACAGCAAAAUAAAAUGCUAGCUGAAAUGGACAAUGAAUUUGAUACAACAAGUGGAUUUCUUGGUGCCACAAUGGGUAGACUGAAAACACUCUCCAGAGGAAGCCAAACAAAACUCUUAUGCUACAUGAUGCUGUUCUCACUGUUUGUUUUUUUUGUAAUUUACUGGAUUAUUAAAUUGAGGUGAUGGAUAUUCUCCAAUACGAGAUGAUUUGCGCCACGUCAAGAUCCUAGAAAGGUGAGUGAGGCUGACAGACUUCAGAGAAGUGUGACUAGCCCAAGGUCACCCAGCAGCUGCAUGUGGAGGAGCAGAGACGCGAACCCGGUUCACCAGAUUGAGUCUACCGCUUUUAACCACUACACCACACUGGCUAUUGAGCAGGAUGGACCUAUAGUCUGACUUGGUAUAAGGCAGGUUCCUAUGUUCCUCAGGGGAUAGCUCUGAAUAUUUAACACUUUGUGCCCAUGGAGGCAGCCCAGUCUUUGAAGUGAAUGGGGAAACUUACCAACUGAAUAUAUUCACCCAAUGAGACAAUAUAUGUGUGCCUCCUCCCAUAUGAAAGAACUGCUGGGUUGAAGUAUGUGGGUUGAAAUAACUACAGUAGCUGGUCAAAUUAAUUUGUCCAAGCAAGUGGGAUUUCUAAACUACUUGCAUGAGAAACAAAUUUUUUUUAAAGUGCACUUGUAGUAAGGGACACAUACCCACAAACAAUGUGUCCAUUUGUACAAUCAUAUAGCCAAGAUAUUCCAUGAAAACUCUUGCAUAAUAAUAAUAAUUUAUUAUUUAUAUCUGGCUGGGUUCCCCCAGCCACUCUGGGCGGCUUCCAACAAAACAGAAAUUCUAAAAUACAGAAAUCCAUCAAACAUUAAAAUACAGAAAUCCAUCACACAUUAAAAGCUUCCCUAAACAGGGAAAGUAAAAAGAGUGACACAGAGAAGGAAGCUGACAAAUAGAAAUCCCAGAGCGUGGCAACUGAGGUAAGCAGACUUUUUGUAAAUUCUUUUUUCCACAGCACUGGGGGGGGGGGGAUGUUUCCAUAGCUGAGAGCAAUUUUGGAAAGGUUAACCCAAGAACAAGACAGCUGACGGACUGUCAGCCUGACUAAAGUAUUCCUCUAUGAAGCAACUUGCAGCCCAAACGCAGCAGCCAGAUGCUAUGGGAUAUGAUGGCUGUAGUAACGCAAACUGACCUAUGCGUCAGACGCUUACUAUGCGUCAGACGCAGAAACAUCACCAGGGAGUGAGGUUAAGGGUACAUGCUGCUCAGUUAUGAGAGACAAACCCUACUGUGACAACGUCAUUGAGAACAGUAAUGAAGUCUGAGCAAAAGUAGGAGCAUUUAUUGAAAAGCUUUCCCCGUCCCCAGAAAAAUAAAAUGAAUAAAAUACUGAAUAUCUGGUGGGGGGCCGGGCAAGGGGGAUGAGGAAUGAAGUCAAUCCCUGACUUUCAUUUGAGGAAGCAAAGUUUUUCAAAGGAAUUUACCAAAUACCCUUGCAGAAAGGAAGAAUAGAAAGGCAGGGAGGGGACUGUCUGUAGCAUUUCUGCUACCGCCUGGCCAGGAUUCAAAGAUGGAUACUUGCACAUACAACUGGAACUUUAUAAAUUGCUUUUGGCUGAAGAGUUUCAAUUCCCAAAAGUACGAUUUGCAUUUUAAACUAAACAGCGAACAGAGGUCAUGAUCUUUGCUGAAAGACCGAUGCUUUGCAGCUGGCUCAUAAAUGGGCAUAAUAUAGAACAGGUAAAGAAAGUCCUUCAGAUACCUGGGCAUUGUCUUUCAAGCCAAUGGCAGCUGGAAGGCACAAGCAGAAUUCGCUGAUCUGACAGCCCAAAAGAAUACUUCUGCUAUUUUUUAUUUAAACCGUAGCAGAGGAGUUAAUAAUUUAUGUAAUUAGGUUCUUUCAGGCCAAAUCACUAACCCACUCUUAUGAUGACCCUUAGUUUUACACUAGAGUCGGGGACAUAAUAUAGAGCAAUUCAAUCUAAAUUUCUGAGGACUAUUCUUCAAAUACCCCAUUUCAUGCCAAAUGCUGGCCUAUGUCGAGGUCAGCCUUCAGAAGGCCAAAGCCAGGGCUUGGCUUGCCAUUUUCAACUUUGCCUGAAGCUCACCUUCCACCCAACUGGCUCAGCCCCACUCACCCUUCAGGAUGGCGGUCAGUGCAUGGGUUAAGCCAACCCACAAACGCCAGCUAUAUGGCUUAUCCCUGGGCUCCCUCAUCCCUCUGGGACAUGAAAAAGCUGGAGUGGCUCUGAAACGGCCUACUGUAAGAUGUUGAAUGCCAGCGCAAUUUAGGUUCAACCUCCAACCACACUCUGACUCCAACCACUCAAUAACCCAACUAACUAUCUCUUAGUCAGCAACCCAUAACCUCCCACACUGCUCUGCUUAUGGAGAUCUGCUAGAAACUUCACUGAGCCCCUCUUAUCUGCCAGGUUGAUCAGAAACAUUUUAUGUCCUACUUCUCUCAGACCAAAAUGCAUCUAUCACUCUUAGGGUGGCAAAGUACUGUGUUGCAGAAAGCAACACAUGCCAGGAACUGUUGUUAAGUAACUUUCACCUUUGGAGUUUGUGCUAUGACUAUAAUUUGUUUAAUGCUGAUGACCAUUUUAAUUCAUUUUAUGCUACUUUUAUUACUUUGUUUUAUUUCAUUCCCCCCCUUAUUAUAUACAUAUAGACGAUGUGCUCCUUAUCCUGAUUUCUUAAUGCUGGCCAUCGACUGUAAUAAUAAACACUUGAACUAAACAGUGGCUUGCCUAUUUAGCACGAUUCUUGUGUGGGUGUACACUUUUCUGAAUUCCAUCAGUUGAACUUAAAAUAUCAAAUUGUGAUGUACUGGUUAAAACAGGGUUGUGAAGAAAUAUGUUGGAUGCAUGGAUUUAAUAACGUGAAGAUACCUUCCCCAUAUUUAUAUUAACUCCAAGCGUACAACACCUUGCCGCAAACCAUUAAACCUCAUUUAGGAAUAAGAAUGCAUACCACUGGUAAUUUUUUUAAGAAACAAAACAUUUAAAUCAAAGGUUAUUUCUUCUAUCUAUAUAUUGAUCACAGAGUAUUCACUCACCUGUAGAGUCUGCUCACCAGCACCUCAUUAGUGAACCCCAUUCCUCCCCAGAACUGGAGACAACUAUCUGUUAAUUCCCGAGCUAGACGCCCUGCCUUUAAUUUAGCCAUGGAUGCAAAUUUGGUCACAUCAUUGCCACAGAUAUACAGAGCUAUAAUAAAAGAAAACAUAAAGAAUACAUUUUAAGAAUGCCUAUAUGGAUAUUUUGUUUGCUAGGUUUUAUAGUUAAUUCUGUCUUUCUUCCAUCCAUCAUGGAACCCAAGACGGCAUACUUGCAGUUCCAUUCAAGCAGAUACCACAGCCAGACCUGCUUAGCUUCAGCAAGGUAGUGGCUUAAUGUGUCUCCAUGGAUGAUAAGGCUAUCGAUGGCUGCUAGCCAUAAUGGCUAUGCAUUACCUCCAGAGUCAAAGGUGGUAUGUCUGAAUACCGCUUGCUGGGAUUCACAGGUGGGGAGAGUGGUACUGUUCUGCUUGUGGGUUUUCCAGAGGCAUCUGGCUGGAUGUUGCAUGAGCUGGGCCUUUGAUCUGAUCCAACAAGCAGAUAAAUUCUAACAAAAUAGUGCGGGGGUUUCCCCCCAAUACUGUCUAUGCAUGAAUGUAACAGACUCCAACUUGCACAACAGGAGUUUAUCUUCUCCAGCCAGCAAGCUCCCGAGCACCCUCAAAAUCU